Molecule: ribosomal RNA, 428 nt
Filed under: Syringammina limosa
Lineage: Eukaryota; Foraminifera; Syringamminidae
Description: SSU rRNA
Rfam family: Eukaryotic small subunit ribosomal RNA
Source: RNAcentral
AAGGGCACCACAAGAACGCGUGGAGCAUGUGGCUUAAUUUGACUCAACGUGGGAAAUCUUACCGGGUCCGGACACACUGAGGAUUGACAGGCAAUCAUGUGAAAUAUUUCUAUAUUUUACAUAUAAAUAUGCUAGUCCUUUCAUGAUUAUGUGAUAGGUGGUGCAUGGCCGUUCUUAGUUCGUGGAGUGAUCUGUCUGCUUAAUUGCGUUUCACAUAGGACUUAAACUCAAGUGUGCUACUUUUCUUGUACUUAUUAUAUGUAAAUUUGAUAUAAUAUAUAUAUGUGUUAUAAAAAUGUUUGCAAUAUAAAAUUUACUUUUAUAAUGUUUUCAUUAAAUAUAUAUCAUAUUUUUACAAUUAUUACUAAAUAUUUACUAUUUUGAAAUUGUACGUACACAUUAGGUCCUGAAAGCAACGAACGUGACCG